RNAcentral lists this ribosomal RNA (318 nucleotides) under Salmonella enterica subsp. enterica serovar Montevideo. RNAcentral describes it as "bacterial SSU rRNA". It matches the Rfam family "Bacterial small subunit ribosomal RNA", at positions 127 to 447 of the family's 1533-position model. The record is from RNAcentral. Lineage: Bacteria; Pseudomonadati; Pseudomonadota; Gammaproteobacteria; Enterobacterales; Enterobacteriaceae.
UGCCUGAUGGAGGGGGAUAACUACUGGAAACGGUGGCUAAUACCGCAUAACGUCGCAAGACCAAAGAGGGGGACCUUCGGGCCUCUUGCCAUCAGAUGUGCCCAGAUGGGAUUAGCUUGUUGGUGAGGUAACGGCUCACCAAGGCGACGAUCCCUAGCUGGUCUGAGAGGAUGACCAGCCACACUGGAACUGAGACACGGUCCAGACUCCUACGGGAGGCAGCAGUGGGGAAUAUUGCACAAUGGGCGCAAGCCUGAUGCAGCCAUGCCGCGUGUAUGAAGAAGGCCUUCGGGUUGUAAAGUACUUUCAGCGGGGAGG